GUCGGAUAAGACGCCUAUCCCUACCUCCACGCGGUACCGGCCGGAAACUAUGAGCAACCUUAGGGAAGAUCGGGUAACCAACCCCGAUGGGAACUUUGGUCGUAGGCUGACAGGGAAGG
This is a non-coding RNA of Aedes albopictus (Asian tiger mosquito), 119 nucleotides long. NCBI's taxonomy places the organism in Eukaryota, Metazoa, Arthropoda, Insecta, Diptera, Culicidae. The record is from Rfam.